UACGUAGGUGGCAAGCGUUGUCCGGAUUUACUGGGUGUAAAGGGCGUGUAGCCGGGUUGACAAGUCAGAUGUGAAAUCCUGCGGCUUAACCGCAGAACUGCAUUUGAAACUGUUGAUCUUGAGUACUGGAGAGGCAGACGGAAUUCCUAGUGUGGCGGUGAAAUGCGUAGAUAUUAGGAGGAACACCAGUGGCGAAGGCGGUCUGCUGGACAGCAACUGACGGUGAGGCGCGAAAGCGUGGGGAGCAAACAGG
Molecule: ribosomal RNA, 253 nt
Filed under: uncultured bacterium
Lineage: Bacteria
Description: partial 16S ribosomal RNA
Rfam family: Bacterial small subunit ribosomal RNA
Source: RNAcentral